This 488-nucleotide ribosomal RNA is filed under the name uncultured bacterium. RNAcentral describes it as "bacterial SSU rRNA". It matches the Rfam family "Bacterial small subunit ribosomal RNA", at positions 33 to 507 of the family's 1533-position model. The record is from RNAcentral.
ACGCUGGCGGUGUGCUUAACACAUGCAAGUGGUGCGACGAACCAGAGCUUGCUCUGGGGCAAAGCCGCGAACGGGUGAGUAACACGUGGGUAAUCUACCCCGAUGACCGGGACAACCCGAGGAAACUCGGGCUAAUACCGGAUGUGGUACGGAGACAUAAGUCUCUUUACUAAAGGUAGCUUCGGCUUCCGCAUUGGGAGGGGCCCGCGGCCCAUUAGCUAGUUGGUGGGGUCAAGGCCUACCAAGGCAACGAUGGGUAGCUGGUCUGAGAGGACGAUCAGCCACACUGGGACUGAGACACGGCCCAGACUCCUACGGGAGGCAGCAGUGGGGAAUCUUGCGCAAUGCGCGAAAGCGUGACGCAGCAACACCGCGUGAGGGAAGACGGCCUUAGGGUUGUAAACCUCUUUCAGAUGGGACGAAGGUGAUGCGGUGAAUAGCCGAUGUCAUUGACGGUACCAUCAGAAGAAGCUCCGGCUAACUACGUG